Molecule: ribosomal RNA, 501 nt
Filed under: uncultured bacterium
Lineage: Bacteria
Description: partial 16S ribosomal RNA
Rfam family: Bacterial small subunit ribosomal RNA
Source: RNAcentral
AUUGAACGCUGGCGACAGGCUUAGCACAUGCAAGUCGAGCGGGGGAAGGUAGCUUGCUACUGGACCUAGCGGCGGACGGGUGAGUAAUGCUUAGGAAUCUGCCUAUUAGUGGGGGACAACAUCUCGAAAGGGAUGCUAAUACCGCAUACGUCCUACGGGAGAAAGCAGGGGAUCUUCGGACCUUGCGCUAAUAGACGAGCCUAAGUCGGAUUAGCUAGUUGGUGGGGUAAAGGCCUACCAAGGCGACGAUCUGUAGCGGGUCUGAGAGGAUGAUCCGCCACACUGGGACUGAGAAACGGCCCAGACUCCUACGGGAGGCAGCAGUGGGGAAUAUUGGACAAUGGGGGGAACCCUGAUCCAGCCAUGCCGCGUGUGUGAAGAAGGCCUUAUGGUUGUAAAGCACUUUAAGCGAGGGGGAGGCUACUUUAGUUAAUACCUAGAGAUAGUGGACGUUACUCGCAGAAUAAGCACCGGCUAACUCUGUGCCAGCCGCCGCCGUAA